AUUGAACGCUGGCGGCAGGCCUAACACAUGCAAGUCGAAUGGUAACAGGAAACAGCUUGCUGUUUCGCUGACGAGUGGCGGACGGGUGAGUAAUGUCUGGGAAACUGCCUGAUGGAGGGGGAUAACUACUGGAAACGGUAGCUAAUACCGCAUAACGUCGCAAGACCAAAGAGGGGGACCUUCGGGCCUCUUGCCAUCAGAUGUGCCCAGAUGGGAUUAGCUAGUAGGUGGGGUAACGGCUCACCUAGGCGACGAUCCCUAGCUGGUCUGAGAGGAUGACCAGCCACACUGGAACUGAGACACGGUCCAGACUCCUACGGGAGGCAGCAGUGGGGAAUAUUGCACAAUGGGCGCAAGCCUGAUGCAGCCAUGCCGCGUGUAUGAAGAAGGCCUUCGGUUGGUAAGUACGUUUACUAGCGGGGAGGAAAGGGAGGUAAAGGUUAAUUAACCGUUUA
Molecule: ribosomal RNA, 455 nt
Filed under: uncultured bacterium
Lineage: Bacteria
Description: bacterial SSU rRNA
Rfam family: Bacterial small subunit ribosomal RNA
Source: RNAcentral